Molecule: unclassified non-coding RNA, 345 nt
Filed under: soil metagenome
Description: partial contains 5.8S ribosomal RNA, internal transcribed spacer 2, and large subunit ribosomal RNA
Rfam family: 5.8S ribosomal RNA (bases 1-120)
Source: RNAcentral
GAUGAAGAACGCAGCGAAAUGCGAUACGUAAUGUGAAUUGCAGAAUUCAGUGAAUCAUCGAGUCUUUGAACGCACAUUGCGCCCCCUGGUAUUCCGGGGGGCAUGCCUGUCCGAGCGUCAUUGCUGCCCUCAAGCACGGCUUGUGUGUUGGGCCUCCGUCCUCCUCCCGGGGGACGGGCCCGAAAGGCAGCGGCGGCACCGCGUCCGGUCCUCGAGCGUAUGGGGCUUCGUCACCCGCUCUUGUAGGCCCGGCCGGCGCUUGCCGACACAUCAAUCUUUUUUCCAGGUUGACCUCGGAUCAGGUAGGGAUACCCGCUAAACUUAAGCAUAUCAAUAAGCGGAGGA